CCUACGGGAGGCUGCAGUGGGGAAUAUUGCACAAUGGGCGAAAGCCUGAUGCAGCAACGCCGCGUGAGCGAUGAAGGCCUUCGGGUUGUAAAGCCCUGUCCUCAAGGAAGAUAAUGACGGUACUUGUGGCGGAAGCCCCGGCUAACUACGUGCCAGCAGCCGCGGUAAUACGUAGGGGGCUAGCGUUAUCCGGAAUUACUGGGCGUAAAGGGUGCGUAGGUGGUUUCUUAAGUCAGAGGUGAAAGGGUCCGGCUCAACCGUACUAAGCCGUUGAAACUGGGGAACUUGAGUGCAGGAGAGGAAAGUGGAAUUCCUGGUGUAGCGGUGAAAUGCGUAGAUAUCAGGAAGAACACCAGUUGCGAAGGCAGCACUCCGGACUGUAACUGACACUGAGGCACGAAAGCGUGGGGAGCAAACAGGAUUAGAUACCCGUGUAGUC
This 439-nucleotide ribosomal RNA is filed under the name uncultured bacterium. RNAcentral describes it as "partial 16S ribosomal RNA". It matches the Rfam family "Bacterial small subunit ribosomal RNA", at positions 338 to 795 of the family's 1533-position model. The record is from RNAcentral.